RNAcentral lists this transfer RNA (74 nucleotides) under Chenopodium album (lamb's quarters). RNAcentral's name for it is "tRNA-Met". Lineage: Eukaryota; Viridiplantae; Streptophyta; Magnoliopsida; Caryophyllales; Amaranthaceae. The record is from RNAcentral.
CGCGGGGUAGGCAGUUUGGUAGCUCGCAAGGCUCUAACUUGGGUACGGGUCAAUCUGCUCCGCAAAAUUUGAUU